Molecule: long non-coding RNA, 1234 nt
Filed under: Pan troglodytes (chimpanzee)
Lineage: Eukaryota; Metazoa; Chordata; Mammalia; Primates; Hominidae
Description: long non-coding RNA NONPTRT006975
Source: RNAcentral
AGAACCACAGGUCCUUGGCUAAGUGGCUGAUUUGAGGACUGGAACAGCAAAUACACAAGAUGAUCCUGGAGUGCCUUGCAGUGCUAGUGUUAUGGACUGAAUUUCUUUGCCCCCAAAUCACAGGUGGAAGCCCUAGCCCCCGAUGUGACUGCAUUUGGAGAUGGAGCCUUUGAGGAAAUGAUUAAGGUUCAAUGAGGUCAUGAGGGUCAGGGGCCCUGAUCUGAUUAGAUUGGUGUCUUUUUUUUUUAUUCAGUAGAGGCAGGGUCUCACUGUAUUGCCCAGGCUGGUCUUGAACUCCUAGACUCAAGUGAUCCUCCCACUUUGGCCUCCCAAAGUGCUGGGAUUACGAGCAUGAGCCACCACACCCAGCCAAGACUGUUGUCCUUAUGAGAACAGGAAGAAACACCAGGAGUGAGCAUGCAGGGAGAGGCCACGUGAGUAUGCAGGGGAGGCCACAUGAGCACACAGAGGGGAGGCCACAUGAGCACACAGAGGAGAGGCCACAUGAAGAUGCAGGGAGAGGCCACGUGAGCAUGCAGGGGAGAGGCCACAUGAAGAUGCAGGGGGAGGCCACGUGAGCAUGCAGGGAGAGGCCACGUGAGCAUGCAGGGAGAGGCCACAUGAGGACACAGGGAAAGGUCAUGUGAGGACGCAGGGAGAGGCCACGUGAGCAUGCAGACAGGCUAUAUGAGAAUGCAGGGAGAGGUCACAGGUGGACGCAGGGGUGCUGUCUGUAAGCCACAGAGAGGCCUCAGGAGGAACCCACCCUGCCGGCAGCCUGAUCUCAGACGUCCAGACUCCAUAACUGUGAGAAGAGAAACACCUGUUGUUUAAGCUGCCCAGGCUGUGGCAUUUAGCUGUGGAAGCCCUGGUAAUAUAGUUAGAAGGUGAAGAAGUGAUCAAAAAACAAAACCAGCACCGUGUUGGCUCAUAACUUACAGCAUAAAUCUCCACAAGUCCGUACCGAUAUAAGGAAAUGACUGAGUAAAUAAAUAAGUGGGGAGGAGAGAUGAAUCACAAAGGAAUUCCAAGUAGUUCAUGUAGACACUCUGCCCCUAAGGAGGGGAGCCUAACCCCCACGCCUUCCUUGGGUGCUGCAAAUACUGACUUCCCCACCAAGGGCACCAUGUGGAAAGGGGGACUUCGUGGUGGAGAAACCUGACAGGCUCCGCAUGGGCCAGGUGACCCAGGCCAGCCCCACCUGUGACCCGGCAGGGGGAGAGCAUACACCCUU